UUUUGCAAUGUGGCUGUGUUUGUUAUUUUGGGUGGAACCGUGGUUUAGUGUUGUUUGAUUUUAGUUUUUUUUUUUUGUGUUGUGAAUCCUAAUGUACCAUUGCUUUAUUGUGCAGUUGAAAUGGCGUCCGGUAACCCAAAGGUAAGUUAAAGUUUAGGUAUUACUUAUGAUUGUGAUUUUUUAUGUUAAGUAAUAAAAAUUCAUUCUUUUUAUAAUUUUUUGUAGUGACGGGUUCGUCAGUCUGUGGAUUCAUCUGUCAUUAUUGAAAUGAAUGAG
Molecule: long non-coding RNA, 276 nt
Filed under: Vigna radiata
Lineage: Eukaryota; Viridiplantae; Streptophyta; Magnoliopsida; Fabales; Fabaceae
Description: long non-coding RNA (VRAD_LNC017021)
Source: RNAcentral